Molecule: transfer RNA, 146 nt
Filed under: Candidatus Aenigmatarchaeota archaeon
Lineage: Archaea; Nanobdellati; Candidatus Aenigmatarchaeota
Description: tRNA-Val
Rfam family: tRNA
About the family: Transfer RNA (tRNA) molecules are approximately 80 nucleotides in length. Their secondary structure includes four short double-helical elements and three loops (D, anti-codon, and T loops).
Source: RNAcentral
GGGCUCGUGGUCUAGUAAGCCCUUUCUCUUUAAAAAGAGAAAGCCCUUGGGGAAAGAGAAACCCACUUGGACAAUGGCUAUACAUAACCAUAAAUGACGUCGCCUUGACGUGGCGAAGGCCGUCGGUUCGAAUCCGGCCGAGCCCA